Triticum aestivum (bread wheat) is the source of this 4570-nucleotide long non-coding RNA. RefSeq lists it as uncharacterized. Lineage: Eukaryota; Viridiplantae; Streptophyta; Magnoliopsida; Poales; Poaceae. The transcript is spliced from 5 exons. The record is from RefSeq and is a predicted model, not a curated record.
CGAUUAGUUCAGACGUUUGUUUGAGUCACGUUUAAAGUGUCCUUCUGGGUCAAAAGCAUCCGCCUGAAUCAAACUUUCGUGAUCGCCGGCGGGCUGUAGAUGCUCUUAGUUUCGCACCGCCCGAUCCGGCAACUUUCAGCUUCAGGAUAGCAGCUGACGGGUGACGGCGGCUCGGACCUGGAACACGGGAAUCCAUCGCUUGUCGUCGCCGCCGCGGGCCAUCUCCGACCUUCCAGCCAGCCCCUUCCCCUCCCGCAGGAUCACCGGCCGCCAUCUCUCUCUCUCUCUCUCUCGCAGGGUCCCAAUCAUGAUGUCUGCAACUGUAGAGCAGGUGGCUGGUGGUUUCUCAUCGGCAGUUAUCCAGCGUGUUGCCGACUAGACGAUUGAUUUCCUUGACAACAACUAUAAUCUAAGCCAUGCUACUGAAGAGCUUCUGACAAAACUCCGCACAAACCUCACGAUCGUGAAGGCAAUAACUGAGGUGGCUGACAAUGAGGUUAUCAUCAACACUAGUCUUACCAAGUGGUUGAGGAACCUCCAUGAUGCUGCCUAUGAAGCAGAGGAUGUGCUCGACAGAUUUGACACUCGUGAGGUAUUCACAGGAAAGCGCAAGGUGUCCGAGCUUAUAUCGUCAUCAGUUAGGGUCCUGAGAGGUUUGAUUGUGCCUGAUGAGAGUCUGCGAAUGCUUGAAUGUGUUGUGCAAAAGCUCGACCACCUUUGCGCAACGUCCAACAUAUUUCUGGAGCUCAUGAAGCAGAGCAGCUUAGCAUCCACCAAGGAGGGAAUAGGUGGAGAGACUACUUCUCGUGUUCCGAUUGAUGUCAAGGUGUUUGGCCGCGAUGAAGUUCUGGAGAUGAUACUGAAAAUUGUUCUGGGUUCAUCUGGCUCUGAACCAGAAUCCAGUAGCGUAAGAGCAAAGCUUGGGGCAAGGUGCCGCAUUGGUGGUGUUGAUGUUAUACCAAUUGUUGGUAUGAGCGGAGUUGGGAAGACAACCCUUGCUCAAGUCAUUUACAAUCAUGGAAGUGUGAAGGGCCACUUUAGACAGAGAGCAUGGGUGUAUGUUUCAAGACACUUUAGUGUGAAGAGAACCCUGCAAGAGAUGUUGCGCUCUUUGAAAGGAAAUGAUUCAUCUUUUGACUACGCUGAUAGUCUGGAAACAGUUGUUAACAAUGUUCAAAAUGUCAUCCAGCAGGAAGGAAGAUUCCUUCUUGUGCUAGAUAGUGUUUGGGAUGAGAUGUGUGAGCAGUGGAAUAGUUUGCUUACUGCCAUAACUCGUGAAGUGCCAGGAAUUGUAGUUCUUGUCACAACACAAAGCAAAAAGGUUGCAGACAAAGUAGCAACAAUGUGUCAAGUUCCAUUAGCACCUUUGCCAUGGGAGAGUUUUUUGGUCAGCUUUCCAGUAUUAUGCAUUUGGCACCAGCAAUGUUGUGGUGGAGAACAAUCAGAUUCUUCUGUUAAUUGGUGAGCAAAUAGCAAAAAAACUAGAUGGCUUGCCGUUAGCAGCAAAAGUAAUGGGAAAUCUGUUAAGAUCCAGAUUUACCGUACACCAGUGGAGAAGCAUCCUUGAGAGCGAUUGGUGGGACCUGAGUGAAGUUCUUUGUGAAAUCCUUCCAUACAUGGGGAUUAGUUAUCAGGAUCUACAGCCUAGACAAAGGCAGUGCUUCGCUUUCUGUUCGAUUUUUCCAGGAAAUUACUUGUUUGAUAAAGAUAGAUUGGUCAAUAUGUGGAUUUCUCACGAUUUCAUUGAACAAAGCGCAUCUGGUGGCACUAGAUUAGAGGAUAUUGGAGGUAAAUUGUUUGAUGAACUUGUGCAAAGAUCAUUCCAGGCUACAUUUGACAAAAAGAGGUACAUUAUGCACGAUCUAGUACGGGCUCUGGCAAUUGGUGUUUCUUCAUAUGAAUGCUUUCUCCACAGAGAGACCUCACAGAGAGCAUCACCAACUGUUCGCCACUUGGCUCUGCACGUUGGUAAUCAACUUCACCUUCAUGAACUCAACAAGUAUAAAAAUCUGCGGACAAUCUUACUGUUUGGUCAUUGUGACAGUAAUGCAAUUUGUGAUAUUCUGGACAAUAUGUUGGCUAACUCAAGUAGCAUACGAGUGUUGGACUUGUCUCAUUUGGAGGUGCUGACAAAUAUGCUGCCCAACAUUUCUUCCUUGAGAAAAUUGAGAUUCUUUGAUCUUUCUUUCACAAAAAUCAGCAAUUUGCGCAACUUCCCUUGCAAUCUUCAAGUUCUAUACCUCCGCGGAUAUGCCCGGAAUACUAUUCCUCAAAGCAUCAAUAGUCUUGCCAACUUACGUCACCUGUAUGUUGAUGCUACAGCUCUCUCUUUAUGAUUCCUAGUAUUGGACAACUAAGUAAACUUCAAGAAUUGGAGAAUUUCAGCGCUGGAAAGAGAAAUGGAUUCAUGAUAAGUGAGAUAAAGAACAUGCAAGAGUUAUCUGGAAAACUUUGCAUUAGCAAUAUCCACAUCAUUAGGAGCACACAUGAGGCAAUGGAUGCCAAUAUGAUUGAGAAGAAGCACCUUGAGGCCUUGGAGUUGAAGGGGAGAAAUGUAUCCAAAGAUGUACUUGAAGGAUUGCAGCCGCACCCAAAUCUGAAAGAGCUCAUGAUUGAAGGUUACGGGGCCUCAACUUCACCAAGCUGGAUGUUGCAAGGUCACAUCUUUACAAAAAUUUAGUCCCUUCAUGUUGGAAACUGUCGACUUCUGGUUGCACUUCCACCAUUUGGAAAAUUCCCUUCACUCAAGCAUCUCACCCUAGAUAACCUGUCGUCAGUGAAGCAUGUCGAUGGAACAUCUUUCGGUUGCCUCCCAAGUUUGGAGGACUUAACUAUUUCUUCGAUGACAUCAUGGAUAAAAUGGUUACAUGCCGAAGAAGAUCAUGGCCCUCUCCUUCCACACAUCACCAGGUUUCGACUUCACAAUUGCCCUUCACUGGAAGAAGUGCCGUAUCUAUCAUUCAUAUCUUCACUGUCAGAACUUGACAUUUCAGCUUGUGGGGACUUUGUCAAGGCACUGCCACAACAUUUACAACUCUUGGCAUGUCUCAAAAAAUUAAGUAUGUCUUACUGCGAUCACCCAGUGCUAUUCUCUGGGCAUCAGUUGAAGUCACUGGAGUAUCUAUAUCUUAGAAAAUGUGGAGGGCUACGUUUGAUUGAUGGGUUACACUGCUUUCCCAGCCUCAGGAAAGUUAAUGUUUAUGGCUGUCCUAACAUUCUUGCCGAGUUCUCAGACAAUUCAAGUAGACAAGAUGAGCAGGGCGUACUUCACCUUACCAAUCUAGAAACAGAUGUGAGCUUGAUUAAUCGAAAUUCUUUCCUCUCCUCAGUGAGAGAUCUGUGUAUCUCUUAUUUGGAGGCCUUUAGCUUUACCCCAGAGCAGGAGGAAUGGUUUCAACAACUGAUCUCUGUAGAGAAAAUUGAGUUUUUUCACUGUCGCUUUCUCCACGGACGACUCCCUUCUACACUAGGCAGACUUGUCUCGUUGAAAAGACUUCAUUUUACCAUGACGUUACCGGUGUCACUGAACGGACUUGUGCCACUUAACCUCCAAGAAUUGAUCAUGGAUGGCUUCAACAUGGAAAAUAACUUCAAACCUGGAGGAUCAGAUUGGCCAAACAUUUCUCAUGUUCCAUACAUUCGACUUAACGGGAAGACAGUCCAAAAUCUGUCAAUUAAUGCUGCUUCAUCUUCUUCAAACCACCAAAUUUGAGCAACCAUGUACCUGUUACCGUGUCUCCAUCUGCAGUACAAAUAAUAUUUCUAGUGCACCCAGGACAGUCAGUAGUUCCCGAGAAAGCUCAGGAAGAUCAAGGAGAAGGAGACUGACGACGUGCGGGCUUGAAGGGCACCAAGGAGUAAAGUGGCAGGACUCUUCUCUGUUGCUGCUGGGCUCUUGGACCCCAAUGCAUGUGGAGGAGGAUAUAUAGGGAGACCGUCCUCACCAAUAAUGAACUUGUUGCUGAACCUUUGGUACUAACUGAACCGUUGUUGAUAGGUUGUGUGCACCAGGGUGUUUGACCGAGAUGGCACCCUUGAUGACGGACGAUGCCUGGAGCAGCCAGACAGGUGCAGGGGAGGUAAACAACAUGUUGUUCAGGUAGAAAGAUGGAGGAUUCAGAUUCAGCCAUGUCGGCAAGGCAACCAUGGCUGACUGAUCGGAACACUCCUUCGCCAGCUGAUUGAUCGGCUCAUUGCCGGUGCCGAGCAGAGCUGCAGAUGACAAUGCCAAUUCACCUCGUAGUUCAUCAGUUUAAUUUUUGGCCUGGUACUGUGUGUCUCUUGGUGCUGUCCUUGAUGGUUCAGUCAGACAACCUGAUUAGCUUACACUCUGGUGCCAUUUCCUAUGCGCAACAGUUGAUCCUACCUUGUAUACGAUCAGAUUGUUUUGAAGGGCGGUAGAUCGGGUGCUUGAUACAUAAAUCCGCACAAGAUGCUGGUUGAUGCACGCUUACCAGCUUGAAGAUGAACUAAUAAUAGCACGAACUCUUGAGAAGUUGUUCUCUUGUUCAGCAAACAUGUUGAACACGAGAGAAACGUUAUGGCCACUUGUCAGAGAUAUGUGACACCU